This 378-nucleotide unclassified non-coding RNA is filed under the name Seorsus clavifolius. RNAcentral describes it as "partial external transcribed spacer". The record is from RNAcentral. Lineage: Eukaryota; Viridiplantae; Streptophyta; Magnoliopsida; Myrtales; Myrtaceae.
UCGUUGCUCCACGAGCUAACGUUGGAUGCAAAAUAUCGGGUUCCUGUGCUGCAUACCUAUCACGAUGGAAAACCGGUCCCUCUCGUCGUCCCUUUCAACCUUGCGUCCUCUCGGAUGCUCGGUUGGACAAAAGAUAGAAGGGCUCGUCCUCCACGGACAUCUCACGGGAUCGUUUGGAUGGAUCUCGAGCGCCUUCUUGUCCUCUCGGAUGUGGAACUCGCCUCACGGGCAUUGGGGUCAUGGGCCCUUGUUCUCGAAUGUGGAAGCGACGGGCGCUUCACACACCGGAAUGACGCUCUCGCCUUGUCCUUGAUCUUCUCGUGGCGCUCUCGGGCAACCACGAAGGAUCAUGCUCGGCGGACGUCGUGAAAGGAAUGC